This 253-nucleotide ribosomal RNA is filed under the name uncultured bacterium. RNAcentral's name for it is "partial 16S ribosomal RNA". It matches the Rfam family "Bacterial small subunit ribosomal RNA", at positions 524 to 776 of the family's 1533-position model. The record is from RNAcentral.
UACGGAGGGGACUAGCGUUGUUCGGAGUUACUGGGCGUAAAGCGCACGCAGGCGGUCUCUUAAGUUUGGAGUGACAGUUGGUGGCUUAACUGCCAAAGUGCUUCGAAAACUGAGAGACUUGAGGGCUUCAGAGGGACACGGAAUUCCGGGUGGAGUGGUGAAAUGCGUAGAGAUCCGGAGGAACACCAAAGGCGAAGGCAGUGUCCUGGGGAGUACCUGACGCUCAGGUGCGAAAGCCAGGGGAGCGAACGGG